This 375-nucleotide ribosomal RNA is filed under the name Laonice sp. MB1. RNAcentral's name for it is "partial 16S ribosomal RNA". It matches the Rfam family "Bacterial large subunit ribosomal RNA", at positions 1936 to 2528 of the family's 2925-position model. The record is from RNAcentral. Lineage: Eukaryota; Metazoa; Annelida; Polychaeta; Spionida; Spionidae.
GUAUCCCGACCGUGCUAAGGUAGCAUAAUCAUUUGCCUCUUAAUUGGUGGCUAGUAUGAAUGGACACACGCAAGUACCCCUGUCUCAUUAAUAUACAUAAAAAUUACCAAUCAGGUGAAGAGGCCUGAAUAUAAUAAAAAGACAAAAAGACCCUAUGGAGCUUCAUUUAAAACCCCAAUUUACACCAGUCUCACGACACCCCGCCCUGGGCAAAUAAAUUUAGUUGGGGCGACUAAGGAAAACCAUAAAUCUUCCUCCUAACAAAAGAAAAUAAAUCCUCACUGAUCCGUUACACGAAUAAAGACACAGCUACCCUAGGGAUAACAGGCUAAUUCUUCUCGAGAGCCCAAAUUGACAGAAGAGAUUGGCACCUCG